Molecule: long non-coding RNA, 8096 nt
Filed under: Homo sapiens (human)
Lineage: Eukaryota; Metazoa; Chordata; Mammalia; Primates; Hominidae
Description: HSALNT0069885
Source: RNAcentral
CGGCACAGCAAGAGCCUAUCUCUAAUAAGAGAACAUAAGAAUUCCUUUUGUUUUUUGCCUACUCUUCUCCUACCACCUCUUUUCUACUACAAUGUUAUGAUAAGAGCAGCUGCCUUGGCAGUUUCUAAUUGCAGGUGGAUUAUCAGCUCCUGGAAGUGAAAGAAUUUCACCUUACACUCUUCAUUAUGGUUUCACCUGUUAUAUGGGCUCAACUUUAGAAGGAUCUCAACAUGCACUGCCUGGCUUCUCCUACUUGGAAUUACCAACACUGUUUUUUUCCUUUUCAAUACCUAUUAAUGCACAAAAAACUGAGACAACAUACAUUAAAAAUAAAAUACAUAUCUACAAUAUUUACAUAUAUGGAUUUGCUGGGAAAAAUAUUUUUAUAAUCACAAAUUAGUGUCUGAUCAUAUGAUUAACAUCACUAAAACUAGAUUUGGUGCUUAUUGACUAUUCUUUGGCGAUUUCCUCAAAAUAUCACCUCUAAUCUGAUGAUUGACACAUAUUUAUUUUUAGAUGACAAUUCUAACCUUCAGUUUCCAACUGUGUACUGGAUAUAUUGGUGCUGCCAUCUUGUCUUCUAGUUAUCUCUAUUUUAGCACUAUCCAAAGCAUAUUUUCCUCUACUAUUCCUAUACACAUUCCUACACAUAUUUUCCUCUACUAUUCCUAUACAUAUUUCCCUCUACUAUUUUCUACAAACUACUGAAUGGCUUAUUUAUCUCUAUCUUCAUGGUACUUGAGUUCUUGAGGCAUAUAUUUGAUGCUGUAUUAAUUAAAUCUAAUAAAUUACCAUGUUAAGAAAAAACAAACUUCAGGGAAAGAUACUAGAACAUGUUUUCUUUGUGCUUUGAUUAUAAUAUUUGCUUUAUGUACAUAUCUGUAAACUCACAUCUUAAUGCCUUAUACUUCUACAUUAGCAUGGCUCAUUUUCCCUUGGUCUAAAUGAGAAGGAAGGAAACAAAUUCAUUGCCUCCAUCUGUAAAACAUCCCUCCAGAACAUCAAGAUAUGUUAAGCACCCUUUCCUCUUCAUUUCUCCUUGGCUUCUCUAGUUUUCCUUUAUGAUCUACUUCCCAACUCUUAAAUCAAUUCCAUUGCCUUCUCUUGGGCAUUUUCCAGGUUAUUCAGAUGUCUAUAUCUACAAUAAGCUACAGGGUCCACCAAGUGUAACAAAUCCCCCAAGUGCUUUUGAAAUAAUCCAGUAGGUUAAAACAGACGAAGAGUAAGAAGACUUAAAGUUGAGGUUAAGUUUAAGAAGAUUUACAAAGCUUUACCCACAUAUCCUGGUCUCUGAUAAAUACAUGAUUAGCUAAAGAUUCCAAGAAACUCACCCAGAGCUCAUUUCCUGCCUGCCUACCAUGGAAGCCAUGUCACUGAGUGCUAAUGAAUUUCCCAGUGGCUCCUGUAACUAGUCAAGGUCCUCAAGUAAAAAUAGGCUUGGCCCUGAAAUUACGGCAUUCAAACCCUGCUCAACAUCAUUUAAAUAUUCCGUGAUAUCCGUAGAUGAAGCCACUGAACAGUAGUGUUAGUAUAAAUAAAUUAAUAUCACAGGAAAAAUGAGGGUAUCUGUUUGAUGAUCCAGUGAAAAAAUGAUGAGAGAAGUUGAUAAGAAAAGCACUUUUCUUGGCCUGUGGUCAAAAACUAAAGCUUUAAACAAUUGUAGGAAACUUUCUUCAGUCGUGUUCUGGGAAGUAAAUUCAGCUAAAUAUAAAUCAAAAGAGUUAUCUUUAUUGUAAUUCAAAGAUGCUACAGUAUUGGAGGCAUGGGAGAUUGCCAGAUGAAGAAACAAGCAUUUUCCUCCUAAUAAAGAAAUCUCUGUAAAUCAUGGGUUUGCACUUCUACUUUUAUACUUCUUUGAUACUGUGCUGUGACCUAUGGAGAGGCGUCAAGGAGCUGUAGCUAAGUGGAUUGCUAAGAACGCCGCGAUGGUGUCAGGUGGAACUGAGGUUAAGCUCCAGCAUCACUGUUACCUGUGUACUGCUGAGUUAAUCAUUCUCUCUAUGACUCCGUUUCUUCAUGUUUAAGAGGAGUAUAGUAAUAGUGGUGAUCUCAGAAGAUUAAGUGGUAAGCACAGUAUUUGGCCCAAAGGAAACAUGCUGUAAAUGUUAUCUUAGUCAUUAACUUUAUGAUUAGAUUUUUUUUCAAAAUCAUUCCCAUGAUACCUGUGGCCUCUGGUUGGUUCUAGUUUAUUUUAUUAGCUCAUUGCUAGUUAUCUCCUCCUAAGCCUUUGGUUGAGCUGGUCUGGGUAUUUCUAGACAUUUCCCUGGUCAUAAUGGGCUUUCCCUUAUGUAUUUGCAUAUAUGCGUUUUCCACAAAUUUGGUCUGAUCAACUCCCACUUUUUAUUUCAGAUGGAGUUCUAACUUUCUUUUCUUGCUUCCUCAAACAUUACUGGAUAGAUAUAAGUUCUCUCUAUUUUCUGUUCUCCUAGGCCUCUAUUUUUAUUAUUUUUACAAUUAUAUCUGUUAUAUUCUUUGCAUGUUUUUCCUCUAGCUAAGGUGUAAAUUCUUCAAACACAGCUACUAUAUACUCAUCAUUGGGCAUCCCAGAACCUAACACUAUCAGGAACACUGAAAGCUAGAAAGUGCCUAGUAAAUGUCUGAUGCAGAAAUAAAUUGCGUAUAAUAUAAUAUGGCAAUGCUAAAAUAGAAUAUAAUGAAAAGGAAUUUAGAAAUAAUAAGGUGAUAAUUUAGAAUCAUAGAAAACAAAUUAGGAAAAAACAAUGAUGUAAGGGUAAGUUUCUUUAAUGCUGACAAAGAUAUUUAAAAAUAUAUUUAAAAGAGCAUUCAUGUGCCAAAAAUAUUUAAAAUAUUUUAGCUGAAUUUGAUACUAAACAUUUAUAUUGUAAUCCAAAGUAUAUGCAAAUAUAAAAAUACGGAACAGAAGUGUACCAAUAUAAUACAGAUUGUCACAGAUCAUAGAAUUAGAAGUGAGUUAUACUUGUGGUUUUUGUAGUUUCAAAAAUCUGUAAAAAAAUAAUUUAUUAUUUUUGUGAGUAGAGAACACUUAUAAACUUUUUUAUACUUAGACAAUGCUAUACAAUUUGAAAUGCAUUGGUAUCAUUGCGUGAUUUAAAUCUUUUCAGGAAAUUUUUUCAAACCUAAAACAAUAUACAUCCAUCCCCUUCAUAUUGUCUAUACACUCUCCUGAGUAUGAUAUCUUUUCUUACGUAAUCAUGCACGAGGCAAAUGCCAGAUGCUCAAGCUAUAAACCCACACAUCUGAUGGGCAAGAGGUCUGAGAAAACAGGCAGCACAAAGUAAUCUUGCCAGUAUACAAACAAUGUAAUGCAGAAAGCCUUAUCCUUUUUCUGGUCAUUAAAUGGAAUUUUAAUCUGCAAGGGAAAUUGCAAGUCAUAGUCCUUCAUGUGUAUAGAGAAAAUGACUUGAGAUCAGAAAGGGAGGAGUUAGGGAAUAAAGUCACACAAUUAGUUGGUGGCACAAUUAGGGCCAGCUUGACAAUCUGUGGCUCUUCCUACUUCUGAAACAUCAUGGAAUUACAGAAAGGGAUUUUAGAAAGACUUUCCUAUUACUGCUUCAUUAUACAGAAGGAUAACUGAGGACUUACAGCUAUCCAAUAUUUUCACCUAGAUCACAUUGCUUGCUGGAAUUUGUCUCAAAUUGGCAUUCAGGACUGCUAUAUCCCAGUCAGUGUGUUUUUCUUUUUUCCUGCAAAAGCAAGACAUUGGUCUUACUCUCACCUACACCACACUUAUCACAAAUAGCAUUGAAGAAAAUCUUGCCCCAAUACUUACAUAUUAUUCAAAUAUCGAAUUGAAGUCUACUUUUGUUCUAACCAUGGCAAAAGAAUAGCCAUAUAUCAAAUAUAACAGCAUAUCAUUUAUUAAUUGGGGUCAACAAUUUUUCCAGAAUUUAUCUAAGAUUCUUAUCCUUUUUAUUUAUUUUUCUAUGAAACAAUGAUCUAUGACAAAUUCAUUGAAAUAUUUCAAAACUCUAAUUCAUAUAUAGCAUUGAAUAUAUGUAUGUGUGUGUGUCUGUGUGUAUACUACACAAAAUGUUUUCCUAAGCUCUUUAGAGCUACAAAAGUUAUAGUAUUUUAUGCCUGUUUUAGAUCUGGAUAGAUAGGCUAUACAUAGCUAAGGAUACAUAGGCUAAGGAAGCCAUUUGGCUCAUUCUUCACAUUAAUAAGAAAAGGCAAUGUGCCACUUGUCUGUGCCAAGCUCUGACAAGUGGAUGUGCCUGGGUUUCCAUAAAUACAAAGCAAGAUAGACCUCUUGGUGUAAUGGAAAGUACGUGCUAUAAGAAAUAGAGAACUUGGGUUCUAGUUAUGUUCCUGUUUCAUGUGUUCAAUAAAGGAUUUCAUGGGAAGUUAUUUUUUAACUCCUAAUAAUAUACCCAAAACUCCCACGGGGCUUUUUCAUUCUUUCUUCUUCUUUUUUUUUUUUUUUUUUUUCGAGACGAAGUCUGGCUCUGUCGCCCAGGCUGGAGUGCAGUGGUGCGAUCUUGGCUCACUGCAAGCUCCGCCUCCCGGGUUCACGCCGUUCUCCUGUCUCAGCCUCCCGAGUAGCUGGGACUACAGGUGCCCGCCACCAUGCCCGGCUAAUUUUUUUUGGAUUUUUAGUAGAGACGGGGUUUCACCGUGUUAGCCAGGAUGGUCUUGAUCUCCUGACCUCGUGAUCCACCCGCCUAGGCCUCCCAAAGUGCUGGGAUUACAGGCGUGAGCCACCACGCCUGGCCGGGGCUCUUUCUAAUAGCUGGAUGCUUAUCAAAAGCCUUCGAAUGUUAAAAAAGUGAUGCAAAGACAGCAAGUAAGGUUGGAGGCCAAACUCAUCAAGGACACAGUAUAAAUAGAAAAUAAAUCUAUAGUGAGACUUUAGGCACAGUUUUUGCCUAAUAUCUGAAAACCCCUGAUCUUUGCCAUAUUCUAACACCCCAUUUGUAUUGACAGCCUUGAAGAUCCAUACUGGGAAACUUCCCUUUUUUAUCAGAGACAGACUGGUUAGGAUAGAUGAUUAAUACAGUAUAUGACUGAGUGUCUGUAAUUGAAGAGACAUUUUUGAAUAAUCAAUGAGCUUCACAAAAAAAGAGUAUUAGACAAAUUAUAUGCAUAUUAAUGCAAUAUCAAAAUCCUUUUUUGUUGGAUGUUAGAGGUGUUUUGUUGAAAAACAAAGAUGAGGAAAACAUUUGAUUUGCUUUCAAAACCUACUCCUGUGUAUAUUCCAUCAAUUAUUUCUGCCAUUAUCCAUUUGAAAAAUCUUUGCUCUUAGGAAUGUGUUAAUUUCAGAUGCCAUUGACCUGUUUAACAGGUCAAUCACUUUCCACUGCAAUCUCAACAAACCCUCUCUAUGGCCUAUGAGGCCCGUUGACAUCUGGUCUUUGAUCUACAGCUCCAAUUUUGUCAUUCUCCACUUUGUUGCUCACUAUAAGCGGAGCCCACAGGUCUCUUUUCGUCCCUCAAACAACUUAAAUGCCUUUCCACACUAGAGGCGGUGUGCUAGCACCCUCUGCCCAGAAUGUUGUUCUGCCAGGAUUUUGCCCGGCUGAUUCCUUCUAGUUAUUCAGGUUUCUGUACAAAUGUGACAUCCUCAGAGAAUCUUCCACUGUUUAUCCCAUCUAAAUUAUCAUUCCUUUCCCAUCCCCUCUUGAUUCUCUAUCACAUUGUCCUUUUUUCCCUUUGCAAUUCUUACCACCAAAUUAGCAUUACCUGAAUUAUGUGUGUAUUCACUUACUUUCAUGUCUGCUAUCCCCCACUCAGCACGCCAUAAGCUCCCUAAAGCCAAGGCUGUAUCUUUCUUGACAUUCUUGACAUCUCUGUAUUUGUAGCACUUACAACAGCACCUUUGUAGGAGUUCAAUAAUUAAUGUCAGAUAAACAAAGGAGUUAAUAAACACAUGAACGAGGCCAGGGGCAGUGGCUCACGCCUGUAAACCCAGCACUUUGGGAGGCCAAGGUGGGUGGAUUAUCUGAGGUCAGGAGUUCAAGACCAGCCUGACUAACAUGAGGAAACCCCAUCUCUACUAAAACUACAAAAAUUAGCUGGGGCGUGGUGGCGCACGCCUGUAAUCCCAGUUAGUUGGAAGGCUGAGACAGAAGAAUCACUUGAACCCAGGAGGUGGAGAUUGCAGUGAGCCGAGAUUGCCCCACUGCAUUCCAGCCUGGGCCACAGAAUGAGACACAGUCUAAAAUUUAAAAAAUACAUGAAUGAAUGAAUAAAUGGAUGAUUUAAUGCCAUUGAUAUAGAUCUGUUAACUAGAAAUGCAAAAUGGGAUAAAUUAAUUAUGUUACUUCAAUCUUUUUCAAAUGUAUGAAAAUAAUUAUAAUUAAAACCAGUAGUUUCAGCGAAAAGGAACUAAUGCAUGUGACAUUGUCCAUGAUAUCGGUGGUUUGCAUGUCAUUGGGCCCUUGAUACAUUUACAAAAAACAAAUAACUAGAAGUGGCAAAUGACAGAAGGUGUGGAAAGGCGAGGGAAGAAAGAGAAACACCAAGUUCUCCUACACCCUCUUCUAAGACUCUUCUAGUUUCUUUCCUCUUUCAAUGAACUUUCUCUCGAAUUUAUGCUCACAAUGUCAGAUUUUGUUUGUUUUAUGUUUCUCACUGAAGUCUAACAUCCCUUUUCUUUUCUGAAAUACGCCAAGCAACUAAUUUUGAAUUACUUUUUCCACUCUGUAGCUGGCUGUUAUGCAUCAUGUAAGGAAGCUUAAUUAAACAGUACAAUGUAAGAACUACUCACAGAUUUAGGAAAAAACCUACUUUCUUCGUUAAAAAAAUAAAUAAGGACAAUUUUGUUAUUCUUUGCAUUCACACACAUCUUAUAUACCCCAAUGCACAACAAAGCUGAAUUUUCAAGUUUGUGACACUUCAGGUCUCUGGAUUUUAUUAAUAAUAAUUGUCAGUCCAUUAAAAUGGAUUAUGAUGACUCCCAAGGAAUUGGUUGUUAACAUAAUUAACAGCUGGCUUUAGUUUCAAGGCAUUAAUCAAAAGAGCAAGUUUCUGGAAAUGACCAGGUUCUCAAAAACGUUGCUAAUUAGCAAAGGCAUUGAAGUUGUAUGACACUGAUUCCUGCCACUGUUAUCUGCAUGAUUGUAUCACAACUUUAAAUACCCACAAUGUGAUGUGUUUUCUCAAGUAUUAUUAAACCAAUAGGCAUUUCAAAUUUCAAUACAUUUACUUUAAAGGAAACAAAAUCUACAUUUUUACUCUUUACUUUUGGACAGAAUCGAGUGUAAAAUACUUGUGAAAUGACGGCAAUACAUAAUACAUAAUAUUUUCCUUUCACAAAUGGUGAAUAAAUGGAGCAUAUGCUAAUUUUUCUUUUAUUAAUCCAAUGUAGGCUAACUAGCUCUGCCAUAAAAAUAAUAUUACUCUGAGAAGCAGGAUAAACGCUACUAUUAUCUACUCAUAGGAUAUCUUAUUAUAUUUUUAGACAAUGAAUGCUAUACAUUAAAGAAAUUAAGGGAAAAAUACAAAAAAGGGAAUUAAUAUCCCAAUUACCUUGAUUUGAUCGUUACACAUGUAUGUUUUUAUCAGUAUUUUCCAUGUUCCCAUAAAUAUGUGCAAUUAUUAUGUAACAUUAAAAAAAGAAAUUUUAAAAUAAUCGCCCCAUUCCCAUCAAGAAAGACCAACCUCUCAACAUUUUGAAGUAUUUGCUUCUAUUAUAAUUAUUAUUUUUUAUUUUUUAUUUUUUCAGAGAUGGAGUUUCACUCUUGUUGCCCAGGCUAGAUUGCAAUGCACGAUCUCAGUUCACAGCAACCUCAACCUCCUGAGUUCAAGUGAUUCUCCUGCCUCAGCCUACUGAGUAGCUGGGAUUACAGGCAUGUGCCACCACGCCCGGCUAAUUUUGUAUUUUUAGUAGAGACAGGGUUUCUCCAUGUUGCUCAGGCUGCUCUUGAACUCCUAACCUUAGGUGAUCUGCCCAGCUCGGCCUCCAAAGUGCUGUGAUUACAGGCAUGAGCCACCACACCUCGCCGAUUUGCUUCUAUUAUCUUUAUGGGCCUAACCUCUUUUGUUUAUGUUGCUAUAAUUAUACUAUGCUGGGAGGGAUGGCUCAUGCCUGUAAUCCAAGCACUUUGGGAGGCUGAGGCGGGCAGAUCACAAGGUCAGGAGUUUGAGACCAGCCUGGCCAAUAUGGUGAAACCUCG